RNAcentral lists this unclassified non-coding RNA (556 nucleotides) under Hevea brasiliensis (rubber tree). The record is from RNAcentral. Lineage: Eukaryota; Viridiplantae; Streptophyta; Magnoliopsida; Malpighiales; Euphorbiaceae.
CACUACAUAUUCUACAACCCAUCAUCACCUAACGAAGUUGCAUUAAAGAGAAGAAAAAAGAUAAAAGAAGAAGAAGAAGAAGAAGAGCACCAAGCAAUUCCUACUUUGUCAGAAACUUUUUCACCAAAACUUACCAACAUCAUACACUUCUAUUCCCCUUACUUGCAUCUCCUCUUCAAUGAUGACCACUUCUAAUAGUAACAAAGAUGGCUAAAAACACUUGCUUGAAGACAACAAAAACGGAAAAAAAAAAAAAAAAAAAAAAUUCCUCCAGUAUAACUAAGGGGAGAGUCCACAACCACUAGGCACCAAGUACUGUAAGCUCUUUAAGAUGUUCCGUCACUAAUCCCAUGCACUGCUCAUGCCUGAACCAUAUCCUCCAUAUCCACCGCUGGUGUUUGCUCCACCGUAAUAAUCUGAACUGCCCCUAUUGAAUGAAGAAUCCCUUCUAAAGUCACGGCCACCAAACCUGCCUCCUCCAGAACGACGGCUCCUCCCUCCACCAUAAGAAGAAUGAGCUGAAUAACGAGAGAGCCAAACAGGUACUUCUUGCUUU